RNAcentral lists this ribosomal RNA (550 nucleotides) under uncultured bacterium. RNAcentral describes it as "bacterial SSU rRNA". It matches the Rfam family "Bacterial small subunit ribosomal RNA", at positions 355 to 896 of the family's 1533-position model. The record is from RNAcentral.
UAGGGAAUCUUCCGCAAUGGGCGAAAGCCUGACGGAGCAACGCCGCGUGAGUGAUGAAGGUCUUCGGAUCGUAAAACUCUGUUAUUAGGGAAGAACAAAUGUGUAAGUAACUAUGCACGUCUUGACGGUACCUAAUCAGAAAGCCACGGCUAACUACGUGCCAGCAGCCGCGGUAAUACGUAGGUGGCAAGCGUUAUCCGGAAUUAUUGGGCGUAAAGCGCGCGUAGGCGGUUUUUUAAGUCUGAUGUGAAAGCCCACGGCUCAACCGUGGAGGGUCAUUGGAAACUGGAAAACUUGAGUGCAGAAGAGGAAAGUGGAAUUCCAUGUGUAGCGGUGAAAUGCGCAGAGAUAUGGAGGAACACCAGUGGCGAAGGCGACUUUCUGGUCUGUAACUGACGCUGAUGUGCGAAAGCGUGGGGAUCAAACAGGAUUAGAUACCCUGGUAGUCCACGCCGUAAACGAUGAGUGCUAAGUGUUAGGGGGGUUCCGCCCCUUAGUGCUGCAGCUAACGCAUUAAGCACUCCGCCUGGGGAGUACGACCGCAAGGUUG